This 494-nucleotide unclassified non-coding RNA is filed under the name Aspergillus pseudodeflectus. RNAcentral describes it as "sequence contains 18S rRNA gene, ITS1, 5.8S rRNA gene, ITS2, 28S rRNA gene". The stretch from base 166 to 319 matches the Rfam family "5.8S ribosomal RNA". Lineage: Eukaryota; Fungi; Ascomycota; Eurotiomycetes; Eurotiales; Aspergillaceae. The record is from RNAcentral.
GAUCAUUACCGAGUGCAGGUCUGCCCCCGGGCAGGCCUAACCUCCCACCCGUGAAUACCUGACCAACGUUGCUUCGGCGGUGCGCCCCCCCCGGGGGUAGCCGCCGGAGACCACACCGAACCUCCUGUCUUUAGUGUUGUCUGAGCUUGAUAGCAAACCUAUUAAAACUUUCAACAAUGGAUCUCUUGGUUCCGGCAUCGAUGAAGAACGCAGCGAACUGCGAUAAGUAAUGUGAAUUGCAGAAUUCAGUGAAUCAUCGAGUCUUUGAACGCACAUUGCGCCCCCUGGCAUUCCGGGGGGCAUGCCUGUCCGAGCGUCAUUGCUGCCCUUCAAGCCCGGCUUGUGUGUUGGGUCGUCGUCCCCCCCGGGGGACGGGCCCGAAAGGCAGCGGCGGCACCGCGUCCGGUCCUCGAGCGUAUGGGGCUUUGUCACCCGCUCGAUUAGGGCCGGCCGGGCGCCAGCCGGCGUCUCCAACCUUCUAUUUACCAGGUGAC